This 433-nucleotide ribosomal RNA is filed under the name uncultured bacterium. RNAcentral describes it as "partial 16S ribosomal RNA". It matches the Rfam family "Bacterial small subunit ribosomal RNA", at positions 29 to 507 of the family's 1533-position model. The record is from RNAcentral.
AACGAACGCUGGCGGCAUGCCUAACACAUGCCAGUCGAACGAGACCUUCGGGUCUAGUGGCGCACGGGUGCGUAACGCGUGGGAACCUGCCCUUAGGUUCGGAAUAACUCCCCGAAAGGGGUGCUAAUACCGGAUAAUGUCUUCGGACCAAAGAUUUAUCGCCUUUGGAUGGGCCCGCGUUGGAUUAGAUAGUUGGUAGGGUAAAAGCCUACCAAGGCGACGGUCCAUAGCUGGUCUGAGAGGAUGAUCAGCCACACUGGGACUGAGACACGGCCCAGACUCCUACGGGAGGCAGCAGUGGGGAAUAUUGGACAAUGGGCGAAAGCCUGAUCCAGCAAUGCCGCGUGAGUGAUGAAGGCCUUAGGGUUGUAAAGCUCUUUUACCCGGGAUGAUAAUGACAGUACCGGGAGAAUAAGCUCCGGCUAACUCCGUG